This 75-nucleotide transfer RNA is filed under the name Chloroflexota bacterium. Its description in RNAcentral is "Chloroflexi bacterium tRNA-Pro". It matches the Rfam family "tRNA". From Rfam's summary of the family: Transfer RNA (tRNA) molecules are approximately 80 nucleotides in length. Their secondary structure includes four short double-helical elements and three loops (D, anti-codon, and T loops). The record is from RNAcentral. RNAcentral also lists the same sequence under 1 other name. Lineage: Bacteria; Bacillati; Chloroflexota.
CGGGGCGUGGCGCAGCCUGGUUAGCGCGCUUGCUUUGGGAGCAAGAAGUCGAGGGUUCGAAUCCCUCCGCCCCGA